UUAAGCGACUAAGCGUACACGGUGGAUGCCCUGGCAGUCAGAGGCGAUGAAGGACGUGCUAAUCUGCGAUAAGCGUCGGUGAGGUGAUAUGAACCGUUAUAACCGGCGAUUUCCGAAUGGGGAAACCCAGUGUGUUUCGACACACUAUCAUUAACUGAAUCCAUAGGUUAAUGAGGCGAACCGGGGGAACUGAAACAUCUAAGUACCCCGAGGAAAAGAAAUCAACCGAGAUUCCCCCAGUAGCGGCGAGCGAACGGGGAGGAGCCCAGAGCCUGAAUCAGUGUGUGUGUUAGUGGAAGCGUCUGGAAAGGCGCGCGAUACAGGGUGACAGCCCCGUACACAAAAAUGCACAUAUUGUGAGCUCGAUGAGUAGGGCGGGACACGUGGUAUCCUGUCUGAAUAUGGGGGGACCAUCCUCCAAGGCUAAAUACUCCUGACUGACCGAUAGUGAACCAGUACCGUGAGGGAAAGGCGAAAAGAACCCCGGCGAGGGGAGUGAAAAAGAACCUGAAACCGUGUACGUACAAGCAGUGGGAGCCUCUUAAUGGGGUGACUGCGUACCUUUUGUAUAAUGGGUCAGCGACUUAUAUUCUGUAGCAAGGUUAACCGAAUAGGGGAGCCGAAGGGAAACCGAGUCUUAACUGGGCGUUAAGUUGCAGGGUAUAGACCCGAAACCCGGUGAUCUAGCCAUGGGCAGGUUGAAGGUUGGGUAACACUAACUGGAGGACCGAACCGACUAAUGUUGAAAAAUUAGCGGAUGACUUGUGGCUGGGGGGGAAAGGCCAAUCAAACCGGGAGAUAGCUGGUUCUCCCCGAAAGCUAUUUAGGUAGCGCCUCGUGAAUUCAUCUCCGGGGGUAGAGCACUGUUUCGGCAAGGGGGUCAUCCCGACUUACCAACCCGAUGCAAACUGCGAAUACCGGAGAAUGUUAUCACGGGAGACACACGGCGGGUGCUAACGUCCGUCGUGAAGAGGGAAACAACCCAGACCGCCAGCUAAGGUCCCAAAGUCAUGGUUAAGUGGGAAACGAUGUGGGAAGGCCCAGACAGCCAGGAUGUUGGCUUAGAAGCAGCCAUCAUUUAAAGAAAGCGUAAUAGCUCACUGGUCGAGUCGGCCUGCGCGGAAGAUGUAACGGGGCUAAACCAUGCACCGAAGCUGCGGCAGCGACACUAUGUGUUGUUGGGUAGGGGAGCGUUCUGUAAGCCUGUGAAGGUAGCCUGUGAGGGUUGCUGGAGGUAUCAGAAGUGCGAAUGCUGACAUAAGUAACGAUAAAGCGGGUGAAAAGCCCGCUCGCCGGAAGACCAAGGGUUCCUGUCCAACGUUAAUCGGGGCAGGGUGAGUCGACCCCUAAGGCGAGGCCGAAAGGCGUAGUCGAUGGGAAACAGGUUAAUAUUCCUGUACUUGGUGUUACUGCGAAGGGGGGACGGAGAAGGCUAUGUUGGCCGGGCGACGGUUGUCCCGGUUUAAGCGUGUAGGCUGGUUUUCCAGGCAAAUCCGGAAAACCAAGGCUGAGGCGUGAUGACGAGGCACUACGGUGCUGAAGCGACAAAUGCCCUGCUUCCAGGAAAAGCCUCUAAGCAUCAGGUAACAUCAAAUCGUACCCCAAACCGACACAGGUGGUCAGGUAGAGAAUACCAAGGCGCUUGAGAGAACUCGGGUGAAGGAACUAGGCAAAAUGGUGCCGUAACUUCGGGAGAAGGCACGCUGAUAUGUAGGUGAAGCGACUUGCUCGUGGAGCUGAAAUCAGUCGAAGAUACCAGCUGGCUGCAACUGUUUAUUAAAAACACAGCACUGUGCAAACACGAAAGUGGACGUAUACGGUGUGACGCCUGCCCGGUGCCGGAAGGUUAAUUGAUGGGGUUAGCGGUAACGCGAAGCUCUUGAUCGAAGCCCCGGUAAACGGCGGCCGUAACUAUAACGGUCCUAAGGUAGCGAAAUUCCUUGUCGGGUAAGUUCCGACCUGCACGAAUGGCGUAAUGAUGGCCAGGCUGUCUCCACCCGAGACUCAGUGAAAUUGAACUCGCUGUGAAGAUGCAGUGUACCCGCGGCAAGACGGAAAGACCCCGUGAACCUUUACUAUAGCUUGACACUGAACAUUGAGCCUUGAUGUGUAGGAUAGGUGGGAGGCUUUGAAGUGUGGACGCCAGUCUGCAUGGAGCCGACCUUGAAAUACCACCCUUUAAUGUUUGAUGUUCUAACGUUGGUCCGUAAUCCGGGUUGCGGACAGUGUCUGGUGGGUAGUUUGACUGGGGCGGUCUCCUCCUAAAGAGUAACGGAGGAGCACGAAGGUUGGCUAAUCCUGGUCGGACAUCAGGAGGUUAGUGCAAUGGCAUAAGCCAGCUUGACUGCGAGCGUGACGGCGCGAGCAGGUGCGAAAGCAGGUCAUAGUGAUCCGGUGGUUCUGAAUGGAAGGGCCAUCGCUCAACGGAUAAAAGGUACUCCGGGGAUAACAGGCUGAUACCGCCCAAGAGUUCAUAUCGACGGCGGUGUUUGGCACCUCGAUGUCGGCUCAUCACAUCCUGGGGCUGAAGUAGGUCCCAAGGGUAUGGCUGUUCGCCAUUUAAAGUGGUACGCGAGCUGGGUUUAGAACGUCGUGAGACAGUUCGGUCCCUAUCUGCCGUGGGCGCUGGAGAACUGAGGGGGGCUGCUCCUAGUACGAGAGGACCGGAGUGGACGCAUCACUGGUGUUCGGGUUGUCAUGCCAAUGGCACUGCCCGGUAGCUAAAUGCGGAAGAGAUAAGUGCUGAAAGCAUCUAAGCACGAAACUUGCCCCGAGAUGAGUUCUCCCUGACUCCUUGAGAGUCCUGAAGGAACGUUGAAGACGACGACGUUGAUAGGCCGGGUGUGUAAGCGCAGCGAUGCGUUGAGCUAACCGGUACUAAUGAACCGUGAGGCUUAACCUU
RNAcentral lists this ribosomal RNA (2902 nucleotides) under Escherichia coli HVH 175 (4-3405184). RNAcentral describes it as "bacterial LSU rRNA". It matches the Rfam family "Bacterial large subunit ribosomal RNA". The record is from RNAcentral. Lineage: Bacteria; Pseudomonadati; Pseudomonadota; Gammaproteobacteria; Enterobacterales; Enterobacteriaceae.